UCCUGCCCAGUGACAUAGUUCAACGGCCGCGGUAUCCUAACCGUGCAAAGGUAGCAUAAUCACUUGCCUAUUAAUUGUAGGCUAGAAUGAAAGGAAAUACGAAAUAUAGACUGUCUCUAUAAAUAAAACAAAAAUUAAUUUCUAACUGAAGAGUGUUAGAUAGAAUCGAAGGACAAGAAGACCCUAUAGAGCUUUAUCUAAACAAGAAAAUAUUCUUAAGAUUCGGUUGGGGCGACCAAGGAUACUUUUAAUCAUCCUUCAUCAACAGAUUUAUAAAUCCCAAUUUUGACAAAAAAGACCAAGCUACCUUAGGGAUAACAGGCUAAUCCUGCUAGAGAGUCCUUAUCUAAAGCAGGGAUUGGCACCUCGAUGUUGGCUUAGGGAAACUAUUUGACGCAAAAGUCACAUAAAGAUGGUUUGUUCAACCAAUAAAUCCCUACAUGAGCUGAGUUCAGACCGGCGUAAGCCAGGUUAGUUUCUAUCCACGAUGCUAUUCAUAGUACGAAAGGACCUGAAUACGGAUAAAUUACUUAACGAAUAAAUAUAAUAAUUUUAAUAUAUUAAAUACUAU
Molecule: ribosomal RNA, 571 nt
Filed under: Carpetania elisae
Lineage: Eukaryota; Metazoa; Annelida; Clitellata; Crassiclitellata; Hormogastridae
Description: Hormogaster elisae partial 16S ribosomal RNA
Rfam family: Bacterial large subunit ribosomal RNA
Source: RNAcentral